GACGAACGCUGGCGGCGUGCCUAAUACAUGCAAGUCGAACGCUUCCUACCGGUGCUUGCACCGGGAAAGAAGAGUGGCGGACGGGUGAGUAACACGUGGGUAACCUACCUACAAGCGGGGGAUAACAUUCGGAAACGGAUGCUAAUACCGCAUAGAUCUUUUUGUCUCCUGGCAGAAAGAAGAAAGACGGUUUCGGCUGUCACUUGUAGAUGGACCCGCGGCGCAUUAGUUAGUUGGUGAGGUAAUGGCUCACCAAGACGAUGAUGCGUAGCCGACCUGGGAGGGUGAUCGGCCACACUGGGAAUGAGACACGGCCCAGACUCCUACGGGAGGCAGCAGUAGGGAAUCUUCCGCAAUGGACGAAAGUCUGACGGAGCAACGCCGCGUGAGUGAAGAAGGUUUUCGGAUCGUAAAACUCUGUUGUUAGAGAAGAACAAGGAUGAGAGUAACUGCUCGUCCCUUGACGGUAUCUAACCAGAAAGCCAUGGCUAACUACGUGCCAGCCGCCGCGGUAA
RNAcentral lists this ribosomal RNA (515 nucleotides) under uncultured bacterium. RNAcentral describes it as "partial 16S ribosomal RNA". It matches the Rfam family "Bacterial small subunit ribosomal RNA", at positions 28 to 523 of the family's 1533-position model. The record is from RNAcentral.